GUGCUCACUUUGGCAACACAUAAACUAAAAUUGGAACACUACAGAGAAGAUUGACAUGGCCCCCGAGCAAGGACGGCAUGCACAUUCAUGAGCGUUCCAUAUAUUUU
Molecule: small nuclear RNA, 107 nt
Organism: Molossus molossus (Pallas's mastiff bat)
Lineage: Eukaryota; Metazoa; Chordata; Mammalia; Chiroptera; Molossidae
Source: RefSeq, a predicted model, not a curated record